AGUGAACGCUGGCGGUAGGCCUAACACAUGCAAGUCGAACGGCAGCACAGUAAGAGCUUGCUCUUACGGGUGGCGAGUGGCGGACGAGUGAGGAAUACAUCGGAAUCUACUUUUUCGUGGGGGAUAACGUAGGGAAACUUACGCUAAUACCGCAUACGACCUACGGGUGAAAGCAGGGGAUCUUCGGACCUUGCGCAAUUGAAUGAGCCGAUGUCGGAUUAGCUAGUUGGCGGGGUAAAGGCCCACCAAGGCGACGAUCCGUAGCUGGUCUGAGAGGAUGAUCAGCCACACUGGAACUGAGACACGGUCCAGACUCCUACGGGAGGCAGCAGUGGGGAAUAUUGGACAAAGGGCGCAAGCCUGAUCCAGCCAUACCGCGUGGGUGAAGAAGGCCUUCGGGUUGUAAAGCCCUUUUGUUGGGAAAGAAAAGCAGCAGGUUAAUACCCCGCUGUUCUGACGGUACCCAAAGAAUAAGCACCGGCUAACUUCGUG
RNAcentral lists this ribosomal RNA (492 nucleotides) under uncultured bacterium. RNAcentral describes it as "partial 16S ribosomal RNA". It matches the Rfam family "Bacterial small subunit ribosomal RNA", at positions 29 to 507 of the family's 1533-position model. The record is from RNAcentral.